GGACCAAGAUGAAAGCCAAGAACAGUUGCCUAGACCUCCUCUGCUUCAGAGAGGAGUGUGGAGAGAAUCCCAGGCUCUGGCCUUGAUUGGAAUUGCUCGGUGGCUUCAGUUCCUGAGGGAGGAACUGAGGACGCACAGACAUUCAGGUGGCUCAGCCAGGACAGCCACAGCAACUGGCGAACAAAGUCCUGGUGCUAGGAACCGCCACCGCCAACCUGUGAAGAACCCCAGCAGCAGUGGCUUAGCCAAUGGCACAGUGAGUGAGGAACCUACGACAGCCAGCGAUCCUGAAGAACUGUCGGUUGUUGGUGUGACAUCGCCGCCUGCUGCAGCCUCCAGUGUGUCCCCAAAUCCCAACACGACAUCUCUCCCUGCACCGUCCACACCAGCUGA
Molecule: long non-coding RNA, 393 nt
Filed under: Rattus norvegicus (Norway rat)
Lineage: Eukaryota; Metazoa; Chordata; Mammalia; Rodentia; Muridae
Description: long non-coding RNA NONRATT014246
Source: RNAcentral